RNAcentral lists this ribosomal RNA (393 nucleotides) under Temora sp. Its description in RNAcentral is "partial small subunit ribosomal RNA". It matches the Rfam family "Eukaryotic small subunit ribosomal RNA", at positions 582 to 975 of the family's 1831-position model. Lineage: Eukaryota; Metazoa; Arthropoda; Copepoda; Calanoida; Temoridae. The record is from RNAcentral.
AUUCCAGCUCCAAUAGCGUAUAUUAAAGUUGUUGUGGUUAAAAAGCUCGUAGUUGGAUUCCGUCGGGUAUAGGUUGGUUUGAAUUGCUUCAAUACUGACUUUUUUACCCGUGUGUUUUGCCAGAAUUUAACGGGUGAUCUUCGCCGAUUGUCUGUUAGAACUGACAGGUUUACUUUGAAAAAAUUAGAGUGCUCAAAGCAAGCUUGAUUGCUUGAAUAUUCGUGCAUGGAAUAAUAGAAUAGGAAGUCGUUUCUAUUUUGUUGGUUUUCGGAAAUCGACUUAAUGAUUAAUAGGGACAGUCGGGGGCAUUUGUAUUCAAACGACAGAGGUGAAAUUCUUGGACCGUUUGAAGACAAACUACUGCGAAAGCAUUUGCCAAGAAUGUUUUCAUCA